UACGUAGGGGCUAGCGUUAUCCGGAAUUACUGGGCGUAAAGGGUGCGUAGGUGGUUGAUUAAGUCUGAUGUGAAAGCCCACGGCUUAACCGUGGAGGGUCAUUGGAAACUGGUCGACUUGAGUGCAGAAGAGGGAAGUGGAAUUCCAUGUGUAGCGGUGAAAUGCGUAGAGAUAUGGAGGAACACCAGUGGCGAAGGCGGCUUCCUGGUCUGUAACUGACACUGAGGCGCGAAAGCGUGGGGAGCAAACAGGAUUAGAUACCCCCGUAGUCCCU
This 274-nucleotide ribosomal RNA is filed under the name uncultured prokaryote. RNAcentral describes it as "partial 16S ribosomal RNA". It matches the Rfam family "Bacterial small subunit ribosomal RNA", at positions 524 to 798 of the family's 1533-position model. The record is from RNAcentral.